RNAcentral lists this ribosomal RNA (253 nucleotides) under uncultured bacterium. Its description in RNAcentral is "partial 16S ribosomal RNA". It matches the Rfam family "Bacterial small subunit ribosomal RNA", at positions 524 to 776 of the family's 1533-position model. The record is from RNAcentral.
UACGUAGGGUCCGAGCGUUAAUCGGAAUUACUGGGCGUAAAGCGUGCGCAGGCGGUUUUGUAAGCCAGAUGUGAAAGCCCCGGGCUUAACCUGGGAAUGGCAUUUGGGACUGCAAGGCUGGAGUACGGCAGAGGGAGGUGGAAUUCCACGUGUAGCAGUGAAAUGCGUAGAUAUGUGGAGGAACACCGAUGGCGAAGGCAGCCCCCUGGGUCAAAACUGACGCUCAUGCACGAAAGCGUGGGGAGCAAACAGG